CAGAUCUUGGUGGUAGUAGCAAAU
RNAcentral lists this non-coding RNA (24 nucleotides) under Arabidopsis thaliana (thale cress). RNAcentral also lists the same sequence under 6 other names. The record is from RNAcentral. Lineage: Eukaryota; Viridiplantae; Streptophyta; Magnoliopsida; Brassicales; Brassicaceae.